This 205-nucleotide long non-coding RNA is filed under the name Elaeis guineensis (African oil palm). RNAcentral's name for it is "long non-coding RNA (EGUI_LNC014802)". The record is from RNAcentral. Lineage: Eukaryota; Viridiplantae; Streptophyta; Magnoliopsida; Arecales; Arecaceae.
AAUUUCUUCUAAGCAGUGUUGGGCUUUUGCAAUAGCUUCUUCCUCUUUGGUCGUCUGCGGUGUAAUGCUUAUCGAAAACUCCAAGUCGAAUGGACUUUGUGGUAAGUAGCCCAAGCACACGUCGAAAGGAGACUUCAAUGUGGAACUGUGCACUAUCCUGUUAAAUACAAACUGCAGGUAAGACAAACUCUCAUCUUAAGUCUUG